UUAGGUUAAGUUAUGAAGGGCGCACGGUGGAUGCCUUGGCACUAGGAGCCGAUGAAGGACGGCACUAACACCGAUAUGCUUCGGGGAGCUGUAAGUAAGCUUUGAUCCGGAGAUUUCCGAAUGGGGGAACCCACUGUUCGUAAUGGAACAGUAUCUUGACGUGAAUACAUAGCGUCAUGAUGGCAUACCCAGGGAACUGAAACAUCUAAGUACCUGGAGGAAGAGAAAGAAAAUAUUCGAUUCCCUGAGUAGCGGCGAGCGAAACGGGAAUAGCCCAAACCAAGAGGCUUGCCUCUUGGGGUUGUAGGACACUCUAUAUGGAGUUACAAAGGAAUGAAUUAGGCGAAGCGACCUGGAAAGGUCUGCCGCAGAGGGUAAAAGCCCCGUAGUCGAAAGUUCAUUCUCUCUUGAGUGUAUCCUGAGUACGGCGGAACACGUGAAAUUCCGUCGGAAUCCGGGAGGACCAUCUCCCAAGGCUAAAUACUCCCUA
This 490-nucleotide ribosomal RNA is filed under the name Lysinibacillus halotolerans. RNAcentral describes it as "bacterial LSU rRNA". It matches the Rfam family "Bacterial large subunit ribosomal RNA", at positions 1 to 479 of the family's 2925-position model. The record is from RNAcentral. Lineage: Bacteria; Bacillati; Bacillota; Bacilli; Caryophanales; Bacillaceae.